AGCCAGGUGGCUUAGAGGUAAAGGGCCUUGCCUCGUGUGCAAAAGGUUGUGGGUUCAAAUCCCACUGGUUG
This 71-nucleotide transfer RNA is filed under the name Astyanax mexicanus (Mexican tetra). It matches the Rfam family "tRNA". Rfam says of the family: Transfer RNA (tRNA) molecules are approximately 80 nucleotides in length. Their secondary structure includes four short double-helical elements and three loops (D, anti-codon, and T loops). Further hydrogen bonds mediate the characteristic L-shaped molecular structure. tRNAs have two regions of fundamental functional importance: the anti-codon, which is responsible for specific mRNA codon recognition, and the 3' end, to which the tRNAs corresponding amino acid is attached (by aminoacyl-tRNA synthetases). tRNAs cope with the degeneracy of the genetic code in two manners: having more than one tRNA (with a specific anti-codon) for a particular amino acid; and 'wobble' base-pairing, i.e. permitting non-standard base-pairing at the 3rd anti-codon position. The record is from Rfam by way of RNAcentral. Lineage: Eukaryota; Metazoa; Chordata; Actinopteri; Characiformes; Acestrorhamphidae.